RNAcentral lists this ribosomal RNA (774 nucleotides) under uncultured Neocallimastigales. RNAcentral describes it as "partial large subunit ribosomal RNA". It matches the Rfam family "Eukaryotic large subunit ribosomal RNA", at positions 22 to 616 of the family's 3401-position model. The record is from RNAcentral. Lineage: Eukaryota; Fungi; Neocallimastigomycota; Neocallimastigomycetes; Neocallimastigales.
CUAUACAUGACUCUGCGCAUAUCAAUAAGCGGAGGAAAAGAAACUAACAAGGAUUCCCCUAGUAACGGCGAGUGAAGCGGGAAGAGCUCAAAUUUGAAAUCUUAAAGGGUUUCCCUUUACGAAUUGUAGUUUAAAGAAGUGUUUUCUGUUGAGGUUUUGGUAAAAGUUCUUUGGAAUAGGACAUCAUAGAGGGUGAGAAUCCCGUAUUUGACCUUUACUUUCAACUUUGUGAUACACUUUCAAAGAGUCGGAUUGUCUGGGAAUGCAGUCCAAAAUGGGUGGUAAAUUUCAUCUAAAGCUAAAUAUUGGCGAGAGACCGAUAGCGAACAAGUACCGUGAGGGAAAGAUGAAAAGAACUUUGAAAAGAGAGUUAAACAGUACGUGAAAUUGUCAAAAGGGAAGCGUUUGACACCAGUGUUGUUUUUCUGAAAAUCAAUUAAAGAACUGUUUAUGCUAAGUUGUUUAGACUUUAUCAGCUAACUGUUUAGUUUUGAGCUUUUCUUUAAUGCACUUUUCAGUCAACAAGUCAACAUCAAUUUCUUUUGCUGUAAAAAAGCUUGAGGAAGGUGGCUUGAGAUUCGUCUUAAGUGUUUAUAGCCUCUUGCCUAUGCAGUCGGAGAGAUUGAGGUCUGCAGCGUAGAUCCUUCGGGGCUAAAUGCAUUUGUGCUAAGUUAUAACAUUUUAUAGACAACUUGUUGACUAUGAUUUGUCUUGUAGCUUACUCGCUUAUGUUAUUUUACCUACGCUUAGGAUGUUGAGCGCAUGUCUCUCUCU